CUGGCCUGCACGCUAUAGGUCCCACUGCUCCACAUCUUCGAACUCCUCACGAUAUGCUCUUCAAGCUGGACUUCUCUGCAUCUAAAUUUUUACUCCUGUGGAUCAAAUUCAAGAUAUUUUUUUAACAAUCUCCACCUCAACUCGAUAUUUGGCAUUCACCUGACUUUGAGAACUUCUAGAUCUGCUCACCCCCAUGCUU
RNAcentral lists this long non-coding RNA (199 nucleotides) under Elaeis guineensis (African oil palm). RNAcentral describes it as "long non-coding RNA (EGUI_LNC037136)". The record is from RNAcentral. Lineage: Eukaryota; Viridiplantae; Streptophyta; Magnoliopsida; Arecales; Arecaceae.